GCAAUCUACAGGGGCAGAGAGCCAUGAGCUGUUGACCGGGGCUCCCGACAAAACCCAGUAUUAACCAAUGCCACGAAUCCAGCUAAAUCCAUCCUCCUAGGACAAGUGCCCUGAUGGCAACUGCGACACCAAAGAGAGAGGAUGCUACAGCCUUCCCUGAUAAAGUUUCCCACUGAGAAGCCUCCUAAAAUCCAGUUCUGUGGGGGAGCAGGGGAGGCCGUGACCAGCUGUCACUUCAGCAGCGGAUUCACAGAGAGACCUUGUCUUGGGACCGGACUGCUGAGGGAGCCCUGCCGGCCUCGCUGGGGCGGGGUCCCCGCAGGGCUGGAAGCCUGGAAUCCAGAAACUACCUCCAGCUGCUCCUCUGUGUUCUUCCUCAAGGCCUCUUCGAAGCGGCGGGCUCUGUCCCGCAGAGACUGGCUCUGGAAGGUCAGCGUGUCCACCUGGUCCUGCAAGUAAUGAUACAAGGAGUCCAGCUGGGGCCACUACAGACAGCAGCCACCACAGCCUGGGCAACUGUGAUCAGUGGGCCACCACUGUGCCCUGAGCACCCUCAGAGUGUUUCCCUGGGGGCUGGAGAAAGAGGUGCCAAAGGGGAACCCCCACAGCCACACGAUGGAGGAGGGUGUCCCCCCGCGUCUGCCCUCGGCUCACUCCUCCUUGGUGCUUUGUCAGGAAGAGACCACAAAAGCACCGUGAGCCAGGGGGCAUUUCACAACCUCUGAUCUCACAGAGGCAGACAAUCCUCAGAGAGAAUCCUCAGAGGUGCCUCUUGUCCAGGAGGCACCCAGCCCCUGGCUUUGGGAAGGACCACGAUGAACCUAUUUCAAAGACGUAUUCUCAUUUAGGAAGCUCAAUCCAGAACCCUUCAAACCCUCCUUAACUUCCUUCUCUCCCUCGGGACCCCUCCCACAUCACCAAACCUUCUCAUCACCAAGUCCAUAAUCAAGUCCUGCCAUCCUGCCUCCUGAAUGUCCCUAGAACCCACAGACUGCCCUGAGCUCCGGCCCCUCUGCUGGCUACUUUCUGGGACGAUUCCUGUUUUUUUCUGAAGGAUCACUCCUUUGCCCUCACACUGUAGUGAGGCACUCUUUCUAACGUGCAAACCGGAACCUGUCCGUCCCCUAUCUCCUACCCCACUGCCCUCAAGCUGCAGUGCACACUCCCUAACACAGCGUCCUCCCAGCCUCGCUGCCUCCCUUUCCUCUCGUGCCAGCUCUCCUGCUGGCAGUGCCUUCCUCCAGCCAGCUCCCUCUCACUCCCGCUUCACUCUGGCUCCCACACAGCCUUCCUGGCCUCAGGACUGGGUGGCAUGUCCUUGAUAGGAGCUGCCACGUAAGCCAAGUCCACACAGUCUCCUCCUCCCUGCUCAGACCUGCCCCGUGGCCAGACUGGCACUCCCAGCCCUCAGCCUUCCCAUGCCUGCCAGCUAGGCAGGCCGCUGGCCACUCUCCACCUGCAGGUUGAAGGAAUACAAGCGUGUCUAUGGAGACACUGCACCCCUUCCCCAGCUCCCAGCGCAGAUGCACCUGCACUGACCCUGCCCCACUUGGCUCCGGCCAUGACUCUCAGGACCACAGGCUGGCAAAGGACCGCUGAUGCCCAAGGAGAGCUUCACCCUUCAUGUCUCACUCGUGCAGACCAGUCCAAAGCUCUUUGCCCAGCACCAUUUCUAUAAUAUCAAAACAUUCAAAACACAGAAACUAGGGUCUCCCAUUAACUCUUCUAAAAAAGUAUAUAGAUAUACAGAUACACACACACACAAAAAAAAAAAAAAAAAAAAAAAA
Non-coding RNA from Chlorocebus sabaeus (green monkey), 1787 nucleotides. NCBI's taxonomy places the organism in Eukaryota, Metazoa, Chordata, Mammalia, Primates, Cercopithecidae. The record is from RefSeq and is a predicted model, not a curated record.